Molecule: ribosomal RNA, 719 nt
Filed under: Roussoella sp.
Lineage: Eukaryota; Fungi; Ascomycota; Dothideomycetes; Pleosporales; Thyridariaceae
Description: partial large subunit ribosomal RNA
Rfam family: Eukaryotic large subunit ribosomal RNA
Source: RNAcentral
GCCUCAGUAACGGCGAGUGAAGCGGCAACAGCUCAAAUUUGAAAUCUGGCCCUUUCAGGGUCCGAGUUGUAAUUUGCAGAGGGUGCUUUGGUGUCGGCCGUGGUCUAAGUUCCUUGGAACAGGACGUCACAGAGGGUGAGAAUCCCGUACGUGGCCGCCGGUCUUCACCGUGUAAAGCCCCUUCGACGAGUCGAGUUGUUUGGGAAUGCAGCUCUAAAUGGGAGAUACAUUUCUUCUAAAGCUAAAUAUUGGCCAGAGACCGAUAGCGCACAAGUAGAGUGAUCGAAAGAUGAAAAGCACUUUGGAAAGAGAGUCAAAAAGCACGUGAAAUUGUUGAAAGGGAAGCGCUUGCAGCCAGACGUGCCCGCAGUUGCUCACCUGGGCUCUCGCCCGGGGCAUUCUUCUGCGGGCAGGCCAGCAUCAGUUCGGGCGGUUGGAUAAAGGCCUCUAUCACGUAUCUUCCUUCGGGAUGACCUUAUAGGGGAGGCGCAACACGACCAGCCUGAACUGAGGACCGCGCAUCAGCUAGGAUGCUGGCGUAAUGGCUGUAAGCGGCCCGUCUUGAAACACGGACCAAGGAGUCUAACAUCUAUGCGAGUGUUUGGGUGUAAAGCCCGGGCGCGCAAUGAAAGUGAACGGAGGUGGGAACCCCCUCGGGGUGCACCAUCGACCGAUCCUGAAGUCUUCGGAUGGAUUUGAGUAAGAGCAUAGCUGUUGGG